This 125-nucleotide small RNA is filed under the name Marmota monax (woodchuck). The record is from RNAcentral. Lineage: Eukaryota; Metazoa; Chordata; Mammalia; Rodentia; Sciuridae.
GCUGGGCGUCGUGGCGCACACUUGUAAUCCUAGCAGCUUGGGAGGCUGAGGCAGGAGGAUCACGAGUUCAAAGCCAGCCUCAGCAACAGCUAGGCACUAAGCAACUCGGUGAGACCCUGUCUCUA